UACGGGGGGAGCAAGCGUUGUUCGGAUUUACUGGGCUUAAAGGGCGCGUAGGCGGCCAGCGCAAGUCAGUUGUGAAAUCUCCGGGCUUAACUCGGAACGGUCAACUGAUACUGCGCGGCUAGAGUGCAGAAGGGGCAACUGGAAUUCUCGGUGUAGCGGUGAAAUGCGUAGAUAUCGAGAGGAACACCUGCGGCGAAGGCGGGUUGCUGGGCUGACACUGACGCUGAUGCGCGAAAGCCAGGGGAGCGAACGGG
This 254-nucleotide ribosomal RNA is filed under the name uncultured bacterium. Its description in RNAcentral is "partial 16S ribosomal RNA". It matches the Rfam family "Bacterial small subunit ribosomal RNA", at positions 524 to 776 of the family's 1533-position model. The record is from RNAcentral.